CAAGCUCUCAUCGUGAGGUUUGACCAAGGU
This 30-nucleotide non-coding RNA is filed under the name Rattus norvegicus (Norway rat). The record is from RNAcentral. Lineage: Eukaryota; Metazoa; Chordata; Mammalia; Rodentia; Muridae.